This 551-nucleotide ribosomal RNA is filed under the name uncultured eukaryote. Its description in RNAcentral is "SSU rRNA". It matches the Rfam family "Eukaryotic small subunit ribosomal RNA", at positions 904 to 1476 of the family's 1831-position model. The record is from RNAcentral.
GUCAGAAGUGAAAUUCUUGGAUCUAUAAAGACGAACUUCUGCGAAAGCAUUUGCCAAGGAUGUUUUCAUUGAUCAAGAACGAAAGUUGGGGGCUCGAAGACGAUUAGAUACCGUCGUAGUCUCAACCAUAAACGAUGCCGACCAGGGAUUGGCGGGUGUUCUUUUAAUGACCCCGCCAGCACCUUGAGAGAAAUCAGAGUCUUUGGGUUCCGGGGGGAGUAUGGUCGCGAGGCUGAAACUUAAAGGAAUUGACGGAAGGGCACCACCAGGCGUGGAGCCUGCGGCUUAAUUUGCCUCAACACGGGAAAACUUACAAGGACCAGACACGAGGAUGAUUAACAGAUUGAGAGCUCUUUUUUGAUUUUGUGGGUGGUGGUGCAUGGCCGUUCUUAGUUGGUGGGUUGCCUUGUCAGGUUGAUUCCGGUAACGAACGAGACCUCAGCCUGCUAAAUAGUCACGUUUCCUUUCUGGAUACGCUUGACUUCUUAGAGGGACUAUUGUCGUUUAGGCAAUGGAAGUGUGAGGCAAUAACAGGUCUGUGAUGCCCUUAG